This is a non-coding RNA of Caenorhabditis brenneri, 73 nucleotides long. Lineage: Eukaryota; Metazoa; Nematoda; Chromadorea; Rhabditida; Rhabditidae. The record is from the annotation of a GenBank genome assembly.
GCUACGAGUGGUCUAGUGGUUAGCACUCUCGUCUUUGAAACUAGCAACCCGGGUUCGACCCCCUCUCGGAUCA